GAUCAUGGCUCAGAACGAACGCUGGCGGCGCGUUUAAGCAUGCAAGUCGAGCGGCAAGGGCCUUCGGGCCCCUAGAGCGGCGGACGGGUGAGUAACACGUGGACAAUCUGCCCCCCGGCCCGGGAUAGCCCAGGGAAACCUGGAUUAAUACCGGAUGAGACGGGACCCGCGAUGGCGGGACCCGGAAAGGCGCUGCGGCGCCGCCGGGGGAUGAGUCUGCGUCCCAUUAGCUAGACGGCGGGGUAACGGCCCACCGUGGCGACGAUGGGUAGCCGGCCUGAGAGGGUGGACGGCCACAUUGGAACUGAGACACGGUCCAGACUCCUACGGGAGGCAGCAGCUAAGAAUCUUCCGCAAUGGGCGAAAGCCUGACGGAGCGACGCCCGCGUGAACGAAGAAGGCCGUGAGGUUGUAAAGUUCUUUUCGGGAGGGGGAACAACCGUGGCAGGGAAUGGCCGCGGGAUGACGUGAAUCCCGGAAUAAGCCCCGGCUAACUACGUGCCAGCAGCCGC
RNAcentral lists this ribosomal RNA (512 nucleotides) under uncultured bacterium. Its description in RNAcentral is "bacterial SSU rRNA". It matches the Rfam family "Bacterial small subunit ribosomal RNA", at positions 15 to 518 of the family's 1533-position model. The record is from RNAcentral.